This 127-nucleotide ribosomal RNA is filed under the name Klebsiella pneumoniae. RNAcentral's name for it is "partial 23S ribosomal RNA". It matches the Rfam family "Bacterial large subunit ribosomal RNA", at positions 2800 to 2925 of the family's 2925-position model. The record is from RNAcentral. Lineage: Bacteria; Pseudomonadati; Pseudomonadota; Gammaproteobacteria; Enterobacterales; Enterobacteriaceae.
UGAGACUAUAAGUCUCCUGAAGGAACGUUAAAGACGAUGACGUUGAUAGGCCGGGUGUGUAAGCGCAGCGAUGCGUUGAGCUAACCGGUACUAAUGAACCGUGAGGCUUAACCUUACAACGCCGAAG